AGUGAACGCUGGCGGUAGGCCUAACACAUGCAAGUCGAACGGCAGCACAGUAAGAGCUUGCUCUUACGGGUGGCGAGUGGCGGACGGGUGAGGCAUACAUCGGAAUCUACUUUUUCGUGGGGGAUAACGUAGGGAAACUUACGCUAAUGCCGCAUACGACCUACGGGUGAAAGCAGGGGAUCUUCGGACCUUGCGCGAUUGAAUGAGCCGAUGUCGGAUUAGCUAGUUGGCGGGGUAAAGGCCCACCGAGGCGACGAUCCGUAGCUGGUCUGAGAGGAUGAUCAGCCACACUGGAACUGAGACACGGUCCAGACUCCUACGGGAGGCAGCAGUGGGGAAUAUUGGACAAUGGGCGCAAGCCUGAUCCAGCCAUACCGCGUGGGUGAAGAAGGCCUUCGGGUUGUAAAGCCCUUUUGUUGGGAAAGAAAAGCAGCAGGUUAAUACCCCGCUGUUCUGACGGUACCCAAAGAAUAAGCACCGGCUAACUUCGUG
This 492-nucleotide ribosomal RNA is filed under the name uncultured bacterium. RNAcentral describes it as "partial 16S ribosomal RNA". It matches the Rfam family "Bacterial small subunit ribosomal RNA", at positions 29 to 507 of the family's 1533-position model. The record is from RNAcentral.